RNAcentral lists this ribosomal RNA (497 nucleotides) under uncultured bacterium. RNAcentral describes it as "partial 16S ribosomal RNA". It matches the Rfam family "Bacterial small subunit ribosomal RNA", at positions 28 to 507 of the family's 1533-position model. The record is from RNAcentral.
GAUGAACGCUGGCGGCGUGCCUAAUACAUGCAAGUCGAGCGAACAGACGAGGAGCUUGCUCCUCUGACGUUAGCGGCGGACGGGUGAGUAACACGUGGAUAACCUACCUAUAAGACUGGGAUAACUUCGGGAAACCGGAGCUAAUACCGGAUAAUAUAUUGAACCGCAUGGUUCAAUAGUGAAAGACGGUUUUGCUGUCACUUAUAGAUGGAUCCGCGCCGCAUUAGCUAGGUGGUAAGGUAACGGCCUACCAAGGCGACGAUGCGUAGCCGACCUGAGAGGGUGAUCGGCCACACUGGAACUGAGACACGGUCCAGACUCCUACGGGAGGCAGCAGUAGGGAAUCUUCCGCAAUGGGCGAAAGCCUGACGGAGCAACGCCGCGUGAGUGAUGAAGGUCUUCGGAUCGUAAAACUCUGUUAUUAGGGAAGAACAAAUGUGUAAGUAACUAUGCACGUCUUGACGGUACCUAAUCAGAAAGCCACGGCUAACUACGUG